ACCUGGUCCAGAACAGACCCCACAAGGUUGAACCCGGUGGAGAAACGGGAAAGCGUGGGGGAGAAGUGGGAUCAGGUGGUGCUAACUCUUUCAAGUUGGCUGCAUCACUUCUCUCUUAGGUGGUUGAUAGCACUUAGCGGACAUGCGCUCGCGGCGUUGCUUGGAAACCUUGUUUAACCAGGUCUUGCGCUUUAAGGGUUUAUAGUGUUUAAUCUUGUGCAUUGUUACUGACGGUAUUUGUAAGUGCGUUGUCGCGUAUUAGCAGCCCGUUUG
Molecule: small RNA, 273 nt
Filed under: Mycoplasmoides pneumoniae M129
Lineage: Bacteria; Bacillati; Mycoplasmatota; Mycoplasmoidales; Mycoplasmoidaceae
Description: Mycoplasma pneumoniae M129 ncRNA
Source: RNAcentral